GCGGGAGUAGCUCAUUUGGUAGAGCGCAGCCUUGCCAAGGCUGAGGUGGCGGGUUCGAGCCCCGUCUCCCGCUCCA
Molecule: transfer RNA, 76 nt
Filed under: bacterium
Lineage: Bacteria
Also listed under: 9 other names
Description: tRNA-Gly
Rfam family: tRNA
About the family: Transfer RNA (tRNA) molecules are approximately 80 nucleotides in length.
Source: RNAcentral